Molecule: ribosomal RNA, 821 nt
Filed under: Shigella flexneri
Lineage: Bacteria; Pseudomonadati; Pseudomonadota; Gammaproteobacteria; Enterobacterales; Enterobacteriaceae
Description: partial 23S ribosomal RNA
Rfam family: Bacterial large subunit ribosomal RNA
Source: RNAcentral
GGUUAAGCGACUAAGCGUACACGGUGGAUGCCCUGGCAGUCAGAGGCGAUGAAGGACGUGCUAAUCUGCGAUAAGCGUCGGUAAGGUGAUAUGAACCGUUAUAACCGGCGAUUUCCGAAUGGGGAAACCCAGUGUGAUUCGUCACACUAUCAUUAACUGAAUCCAUAGGUUAAUGAGGCGAACCGGGGGAACUGAAACAUCUAAGUACCCCGAGGAAAAGAAAUCAACCGAGAUUCCCCCAGUAGCGGCGAGCGAACGGGGAGCAGCCCAGAGCCUGAAUCAGUGUGUGUGUUAGUGGAAGCGUCUGGAAAGGCGUGCGAUACAGGGUGACAGCCCCGUACACAAAAAUGCACAUACUGUGAGCUCGAUGAGUAGGGCGGGACACGUGGUAUCCUGUCUGAAUAUGGGGGGACCAUCCUCCAAGGCUAAAUACUCCUGACUGACCGAUAGUGAACCAGUACCGUGAGGGAAAGGCGAAAAGAACCCCGGCGAGGGGAGUGAAAAAGAACCUGAAACCGUGUACGUACAAGCAGUGGGAGCACGCUUAGGCGUGUGACUGCGUACCUUUUGUAUAAUGGGUCAGCGACUUAUAUUCUGUAGCAAGGUUAACCGAAUAGGGGAGCCGAAGGGAAACCGAGUCUUAACUGGGCGUUAAGUUGCAGGGUAUAGACCCGAAACCCGGUGAUCUAGCCAUGGGCAGGUUGAAGGUUGGGUAACACUAACUGGAGGACCGAACCGACUAAUGUUGAAAAAUUAGCGGAUGACUUGUGGCUGGGGGUGAAAGGCCAAUCAAACCGGGAGAUAGCUGGUUCUCCCCGAAA